GACGAACGCUGGCGGCGUGCCUAAUACAUGCAAGUCGAACGCUUCUUUCCUCCCGAGUGCUUGCACUCAAUUGGAAGGAGGAGUGGCGGACGGGUGAGUAACACGUGGGUAACCUACCCAUCAGAGGGGGAUAACACUUGGAAACAGGUGCUAAUACCGCAUAACAGUUUAUGCCGCAUGGCAUAAGAGUGAAAGGCGCUUUCGGGUGUCGUUGAUGGAUGGACCCGCGGUGCAUUAGCUAGUUGGUGAGGUAACGGCUCACCAAGGCCACGAUGCAUAGCCGACCUGAGAGGGUGAUCGGCCACACUGGGACUGAGACACGGCCCAGACUCCUACGGGAGGCAGCAGUAGGGAAUCUUCGGCAAUGGACGAAAGUCUGACCGAGCAACGCCGCGUGAGUGAAGAAGGUUUUCGGAUCGUAAAACUCUGUUGUUAGAGAAGAACAAGGACGUUAGUAACUGAACGUCCCCUGACGGUAUCUAACCAGAAAGCCACGGCUAACUACGUG
This 508-nucleotide ribosomal RNA is filed under the name uncultured bacterium. RNAcentral's name for it is "partial 16S ribosomal RNA". It matches the Rfam family "Bacterial small subunit ribosomal RNA", at positions 28 to 507 of the family's 1533-position model. The record is from RNAcentral.